RNAcentral lists this ribosomal RNA (497 nucleotides) under uncultured bacterium. RNAcentral describes it as "partial 16S ribosomal RNA". It matches the Rfam family "Bacterial small subunit ribosomal RNA", at positions 28 to 507 of the family's 1533-position model. The record is from RNAcentral.
GAUGAACGCUGGCGGCGUGCCUAAUACAUGCAAGUCGAGCGAACGGACGAGAAGCUUGCUUCUCUGAUGUUAGCGGCGGACGGGUGAGUAACACGUGGAUAACCUACCUAUAAGACUGGGAUAACUUCGGGAAACCGGAGCUAAUACCGGAUGAUAUUUUGAACCGCAUGGUUCAAAAGUGAAAGACGGUCUUGCUGUCACUUAUAGAUGGAUCCGCGCUGCAUUAGCUAGUUGGUAAGGUAACGGCUUACCAAGGCAACGAUGCAUAGCCGACCUGAUAGGGUGAUCGGCCACACUGGAACUGAGACACGGUCCAGACUCCUACGGGAGGCAGCAGUAGGGAAUCUUCCGCAAUGGGCGAAAGCCUGACGGAGCAACGCCGCGUGAGUGAUGAAGGUCUUCGGAUCGUAAAACUCUGUUAUUAGGGAAGAACAUAUGUGUAAGUAACUGUGCACAUCUUGACGGUACCUAAUCAGAAAGCCACGGCUAACUACGUG